This 253-nucleotide ribosomal RNA is filed under the name uncultured bacterium. Its description in RNAcentral is "partial 16S ribosomal RNA". It matches the Rfam family "Bacterial small subunit ribosomal RNA", at positions 524 to 776 of the family's 1533-position model. The record is from RNAcentral.
UACAGAGGGGGCAAGCGUUAUUCGGAAUUAUUGGGCGUAAAGGGCGCGUAGGCGGCUUUGCAAGUGGCGGGUGAAAUCCCUCGGCUUAACCGAGGAACUGCCUGUCAAACUGCAUGGCUUGAGACCGGGAGAGGUGAGUGGAAUUCCCAGUGUAGCGGUGAAAUGCGUAGAUAUUGGGAGGAACACCAGUGGCGAAGGCGGCUCUCUGGACCGAGACUGACGCUGAGGCGCGAAAGCGUGGGGAGCAAACAGG